CCUACGGGAGACAGCAGUGGGGAAUAUUGCACAAUGGGGGCAACCCUGAUGCAGCAACGCAGCGUGAGUGAUGAAGUAUUUCGGUAUGUAAAGCUCUAUCAGCAGGGAAGAAAAUGACAGUACCUGACUAAGAAGCCCCGGCUAACUACGUGCCGGCAGCCGCGGUAAUACGUAGGGGGCAGGCGUUAUCCGGAUUUACUGGGUGUAAAGGGAGCGUAGACGGCUGCGCAAGUCAGAAGUGAAAGCCCGAGGCUCAACCGCGGGACUGCAUUUGAAACUGUGUAGCUAGAGUGCAGGAGAGGUAAGUGGAAUUCGUAGUGUAGCGGUGAAAUGCGUAGAUAUUAGGAGGAACACCGGUGGCGAAGGCGGCCUACUGGACUGUAACUGACGUUGAGGCUCGAAAGCGUGGGGAGCAAACAGGAUUAGAUACCCCAGUAGUC
This 440-nucleotide ribosomal RNA is filed under the name uncultured bacterium. RNAcentral's name for it is "partial 16S ribosomal RNA". It matches the Rfam family "Bacterial small subunit ribosomal RNA", at positions 338 to 795 of the family's 1533-position model. The record is from RNAcentral.